Molecule: long non-coding RNA, 574 nt
Filed under: Piliocolobus tephrosceles (Ugandan red Colobus)
Lineage: Eukaryota; Metazoa; Chordata; Mammalia; Primates; Cercopithecidae
Description: lncRNA (ENSPTEG00000009316.1)
Source: RNAcentral
AUGUAUUUAUUCAAAUAAGUUCUUACACAAGCACGUACAUAUAAAAACAUUUACUUACACAAGCACGUAUUUAUAAAAACCUUUACUUACCCAAACACGUACUUACACAAACACGUACUUACACAAACACAAACUUUCACAAACACAUACUUUCACAAACACAUACUUACACAAACACGAAUUGAGAAGUGUUAUUUGUUGUCUAUUUUUGACUUAUAUUUUAAAAAAAAAAAAUACUUUACAAUGAAAUUUUUAUUAAAAUUGUCUUUGUCUAUUGUUUUAAUGUUUGCUUAUGUAUUUUGUUCAAAACAAAAUGAUUUAAAUUUUUGCAAAAAAACACACAGAGGGGUGUUGCAAUAUCAUCAAAAAAAUGAUACCAAUGGGUAUAUUACUGUUGCUGUUGCAUUGAAAGAUGACACCCUGAGACUAUACCAAGGGACAAAAUUGUUUUCUAGUAUAAACCUAAAAGAUGUUAUAGCACCUUUAGAAAUUUUUUCUACAAGCCCCGAAUGUUUAACAGUCAACAUAAGUAAAUUACAAUGCAUUUAAAAAAAUAAAACCAAUAAAAUAAACA